This 490-nucleotide ribosomal RNA is filed under the name uncultured bacterium. RNAcentral describes it as "partial 16S ribosomal RNA". It matches the Rfam family "Bacterial small subunit ribosomal RNA", at positions 28 to 507 of the family's 1533-position model. The record is from RNAcentral.
GAUGAACGCUAGCGAUAGGCUUAACACAUGCAAGUCGAGGGGCAGCAUGGUCUUAGCUUGCUAAGACUGAUGGCGACCGGCGCACGGGUGCGUAACGCGUAUGCAACUUGCCUCACAGAGGGGGAUAACCCGUCGAAAGACGGACUAAUACCGCGUACACUCCAUCUUGGGCAUCCAAGGUAGAGGAAAUGAAAUUCGCUGUGAGAUAGGCAUGCGUCACAUUAGCUAGUUGGUGAGGUAACGGCUCACCAAGGCGACGAUGGGUAGGGGAGCUGAGAGGUUGAACCCCCACACUGGUACUGAGACACAGACCAGAAUCCUACGGGAGGCAGCAGUGAGGAAGAUUAGUCAAUGGGCGAGAGCCUGAACCAGCCAAGUCGCGUGAAGGAUGACUGUCUUAUGGAUUGUAAACUUCUUUUAUACGGGAAUAACAAGAGUCACGUGUGACUCCCUGCAUGUACCGUAUGAAUAAGCAUCGGCUAACUCCGUG